UAUGAAGCAAUGAUAAAGAAGAGUACCUUGCAGAAAGUCCUCAGAGAACUUCGGACUUGGUGAGACCGGGGUGACGGACUGCAUGGGAAUGGACUUUUGAGCUGCAAUCCGAACCUCAGAAUCAAAUCUGUCAGUAGGCAUUGACGCAUCCAUGCGUUAUCAUGGUGAUGAUUCUCGUUUUGUAAGGAUCAGAUAAGCUGUUUCUGUUUUGCAGAAAAAUCAGGGUGGUACCGCGGUCUAUUCGUCCCUUGU
Molecule: non-coding RNA, 252 nt
Filed under: Sporolactobacillus inulinus
Lineage: Bacteria; Bacillati; Bacillota; Bacilli; Caryophanales; Sporolactobacillaceae
Description: T-box sequence
Rfam family: T-box leader
About the family: Uncharged tRNA acts as the effector for transcription antitermination of genes in the T-box leader family. T-boxes are found upstream of many aminoacyl-tRNA synthetase genes and some amino acid biosynthetic genes usually in Gram-positive bacteria. The anticodon of a specific tRNA base pairs to a specifier sequence within the T-box motif, and the NCCA acceptor tail of the tRNA base pairs to a conserved bulge in the T-box antiterminator hairpin.
Source: RNAcentral